UUAAAUUGAAGAGUUUGAUCAUGGCUCAGAUUGAACGCUGGCGGCAGGCCUAACACAUGCAAGUCGAACGGUAACAGGAAGCAGCUUGCUGCUUCGCUGACGAGUGGCGGACGGGUGAGUAAUGUCUGGGAAACUGCCUGAUGGAGGGGGAUAACUACUGGAAACGGUAGCUAAUACCGCAUAACGUCGCAAGACCAAAGAGGGGGACCUUCGGGCCUCUUGCCAUCGGA
This 230-nucleotide ribosomal RNA is filed under the name Escherichia coli. Its description in RNAcentral is "partial 16S ribosomal RNA". It matches the Rfam family "Bacterial small subunit ribosomal RNA", at positions 1 to 225 of the family's 1533-position model. Lineage: Bacteria; Pseudomonadati; Pseudomonadota; Gammaproteobacteria; Enterobacterales; Enterobacteriaceae. The record is from RNAcentral.